GUAGGGUCCAAGCGUUAAUCGGAAUUACUGGGCGUAAAGCGUGCGCAGGCGGUUGUGCAAGACCGAUGUGAAAUCCCCGGGCUUAACCUGGGAAUUGCAUUGGUGACUGCACGGCUAGAGUGUGUCAGAGGGGGUAGAAUUCCACGUGUAGCAGUGAAAUGCGUAGAGAUGUGGAGGAAUACCGAUGGCGAAGGCAGCCCCCUGGGAUAACACUGACGCUCAUGCACGAAAGCGUGGGGGGAGCAAACAGGAUUAGAUACCCUGGUAGUCCACGCCCCUAAACGAUGUCAACUAGUUGUUGGGGAUUCAUUUCCUUAGUAACGUAGCUAACGCGUGAAGUUUGACCGCCUGGGAGUACGGUCGCAAGAUUA
This 371-nucleotide ribosomal RNA is filed under the name uncultured organism. Its description in RNAcentral is "partial 16S ribosomal RNA". It matches the Rfam family "Bacterial small subunit ribosomal RNA", at positions 527 to 896 of the family's 1533-position model. The record is from RNAcentral.